This 353-nucleotide unclassified non-coding RNA is filed under the name soil metagenome. Its description in RNAcentral is "partial contains 5.8S ribosomal RNA, internal transcribed spacer 2, and large subunit ribosomal RNA". The stretch from base 1 to 120 matches the Rfam family "5.8S ribosomal RNA", at positions 35 to 154 of the family's 154-position model. The record is from RNAcentral.
GAUGAAGAACGCAGCGAAAUGCGAUAAGUAAUGUGAAUUGCAGAAUUCAGUGAAUCAUCGAAUCUUUGAACGCACAUUGCGCCCGCCAGUAUUCUGGCGGGCAUGCCUGUUCGAGCGUCAUUACAACCCUCAGGCCCCCGGGCCUGGCGUUGGGGAUCGGCGAGGCGCCCCCCGCGGGCACGCGCCGUCCCCCAAAUACAGUGGCGGUCCCGCCGCAGCUUCCAUUGCGUAGUAGCUAACACCUCGCAACUGGAGAGCGGCGCGGCCAUGCCGUAAAACACCCAACUUCUGAAUGUUGACCUCGAAUCAGGUAGGAAUACCCGCUGAACUUAAGCAUAUAAAUAAGCGGAGGA